Molecule: ribosomal RNA, 297 nt
Filed under: Cladodiopsis leptophylla
Lineage: Eukaryota; Metazoa; Arthropoda; Insecta; Diptera; Diopsidae
Description: partial 12S ribosomal RNA
Source: RNAcentral
GUAAUAGUUAUGAUCUUGAAACUUAAAAAAUUUGGCGGUAUUUUAGUCUAUUCAGAGGAAUUUGUUUUAUAAUCGAUAAACCACGUUGGACCUUUCUUGAAUUUGUAAUCAGUUUAUAUACCGUCGUUAUCAGAAUAUUUUAUAAGAAAAAUAAUUUUCUUUAAUUAAAAAAAUAAUUUAUUUCAGAUCAAGGUGUAGCUAAUGUUUAAGAAAAAAUGAAUUACAAUAAAUUUAUUUAGAUGAAUUUAAAUAUGAAAAAUUUAAUGAAAGUGGAUUUGAGAGUAAAUUUAUAAAGAU